This 253-nucleotide ribosomal RNA is filed under the name uncultured bacterium. RNAcentral describes it as "partial 16S ribosomal RNA". It matches the Rfam family "Bacterial small subunit ribosomal RNA", at positions 524 to 776 of the family's 1533-position model. The record is from RNAcentral.
GACGGGGGGGGUUAGCGUUGUUCGGAAUUACUGGGCGUAAAGCGCGCGUAGGCGGACCAGAAAGUUGGGGGUGAAAUCCCGGGGCUCAACCCCGGAACGGCCUCCAAAACUCCUGGUCUUGAGUUCGAGAGAGGUGAGUGGAAUUCCGAGUGUAGAGGUGAAAUUCGUAGAUAUUCGGAGGAACACCAGUGGCGAAGGCGGCUCACUGGCUCGAUACUGACGCUGAGGUGCGAAAGUGUGGGGAGCAAACAGG